CAGCGGCAAUUUUUUUCCCUGUAUUUUGGGAUACUUUUUGCAGAACAAAACUCUGAGAUGUAUCCCAUCAACUGUAGUUGAGUUCUGGAGAUGGGAAAAGACGCUUUGCCGACGCUUUGCCAGCCAUUGAAUAGGUCUCAGUAGCUGUGCUCUCUUCUUGCGCCAGAACCAAAUCGCAGCAUUGUAUUGUUCAUUUCGUAUUUUUCUUGUUGCUGCCUUCCAGUC
This 225-nucleotide unclassified non-coding RNA is filed under the name Hevea brasiliensis (rubber tree). The record is from RNAcentral. Lineage: Eukaryota; Viridiplantae; Streptophyta; Magnoliopsida; Malpighiales; Euphorbiaceae.